ACGCACGCUGGCGGCGUGCUUAACCCAUGCAAGUCGAACGGAAAGGCCCUGCUUUUGUGGGGUGCUCGAGUGGCGAACGGGUGAGUAACACGUGAGUAACCUGCCCUUGACUUUGGGAUAACUUCAGGAAACUGGGGCUAAUACCGGAUAGGAGCUCCUGCUGCAUGGUGGGGGUUGGAAAGUUUCGGCGGUUGGGGAUGGACUCGCGGCUUAUCAGCUUGUUGGUGGGGUAGUGGCUUACCAAGGCUUUGACGGGUAGCCGGCCUGAGAGGGUGACCGGCCACAUUGGGACUGAGAUACGGCCCAGACUCCUACGGGAGGCAGCAGUGGGGAAUAUUGCACAAUGGGCGGAAGCCUGAUGCAGCAACGCCGCGUGCGGGAUGACGGCCUUCGGGUUGUAAACCGCUUUCGCCUGUGACGAAGCGUGAGUGACGGUAAUGGGUAAAGAAGCACCGGCUAACUACG
This 465-nucleotide ribosomal RNA is filed under the name uncultured bacterium. Its description in RNAcentral is "partial 16S ribosomal RNA". It matches the Rfam family "Bacterial small subunit ribosomal RNA", at positions 29 to 505 of the family's 1533-position model. The record is from RNAcentral.